CUAUCCCACGGUACUUAAUCUCUUAUCGGUGUGAUGCCUCAAAUGUAUUACCAUUAUUUGAGAGCUUAAGCUUGUCGUUCGCUAAAUUUAUGAUUCUGGUAAAAAAUCUUUGUAUUAAUAUUGUUUGACUGCUUGUUAUUUUUUUUCGUCUUUUUUUUAAUUAAUUGAAUAAAUUUGUUUUCAACUAAAAUUUAGUUUAAUCGAAGCAG
RNAcentral lists this unclassified non-coding RNA (209 nucleotides) under Melitaea cinxia (Glanville fritillary). Its description in RNAcentral is "misc RNA ENSMCXG00005011444.1". Lineage: Eukaryota; Metazoa; Arthropoda; Insecta; Lepidoptera; Nymphalidae. The record is from RNAcentral.